UGGGGAAUUUUGGACAAUGGGCGAAAGCCUGAUCCAGCAAUGCCGCGUGUGUGAAGAAGGCCUUCGGGUUGUAAAGCACUUUUGUCCGGAAAGAAAUCCUUGGCUCUAAUACAGUCGGGGGAUGACGGUACCGGAAGAAUAAGCACCGGCUAACUACGUGCCAGCAGCCGCGGUAAUACGUAGGGUGCAAGCGUUAAUCGGAAUUACUGGGCGUAAAGCGUGCGCAGGCGGUUUGCUAAGACCGAUGUGAAAUCCCCGGGCUCAACCUGGGAACUGCAUUGGUGACUGGCAGGCUAGAGUAUGGCAGAGGGGGGUAGAAUUCCACGUGUAGCAGUGAAAUGCGUAGAGAUGUGGAGGAAUACCGAUGGCGAAGGCAGCCCCCUGGGCCAAUACUGACGCUCAUGCACGAAAGCGUGGGGAGCAAACAGGAUUAGAUACCCUGGUAGUCCACGCCCUAAACGAUGUCAACUAGUUGUUGGGGAUUCAUUUCCUUAGUAACGUAGCUAACGCGUGAAGUUGACCGCCUGGGGAGUACGGUCGCAAGAUUAAAACUUAAAGGAAUUGACGGGGUCAUAGCUGUUUCCGU
Molecule: ribosomal RNA, 586 nt
Filed under: uncultured bacterium
Lineage: Bacteria
Description: partial 16S ribosomal RNA
Rfam family: Bacterial small subunit ribosomal RNA
Source: RNAcentral